This 865-nucleotide ribosomal RNA is filed under the name Bacillus altitudinis. Its description in RNAcentral is "bacterial SSU rRNA". It matches the Rfam family "Bacterial small subunit ribosomal RNA", at positions 60 to 908 of the family's 1533-position model. The record is from RNAcentral. Lineage: Bacteria; Bacillati; Bacillota; Bacilli; Caryophanales; Bacillaceae.
AGUCGAGCGGACAGAAGGGAGCUUGCUCCCGGAUGUUAGCGGCGGACGGGUGAGUAACACGUGGGUAACCUGCCUGUAAGACUGGGAUAACUCCGGGAAACCGGAGCUAAUACCGGAUAGUUCCUUGAACCGCAUGGUUCAAGGAUGAAAGACGGUUUCGGCUGUCACUUACAGAUGGACCCGCGGCGCAUUAGCUAGUUGGUGAGGUAACGGCUCACCAAGGCGACGAUGCGUAGCCGACCUGAGAGGGUGAUCGGCCACACUGGGACUGAGACACGGCCCAGACUCCUACGGGAGGCAGCAGUAGGGAAUCUUCCGCAAUGGACGAAAGUCUGACGGAGCAACGCCGCGUGAGUGAUGAAGGUUUUCGGAUCGUAAAGCUCUGUUGUUAGGGAAGAACAAGUGCAAGAGUAACUGCUUGCACCUUGACGGUACCUAACCAGAAAGCCACGGCUAACUACGUGCCAGCAGCCGCGGUAAUACGUAGGUGGCAAGCGUUGUCCGGAAUUAUUGGGCGUAAAGGGCUCGCAGGCGGUUUCUUAAGUCUGAUGUGAAAGCCCCCGGCUCAACCGGGGAGGGUCAUUGGAAACUGGGAAACUUGAGUGCAGAAGAAGAGAGUGGAAUUCCACGUGUAGCGGUGAAAUGCGUAGAGAUGUGGAGGAACACCAGUGGCGAAGGCGACUCUCUGGUCUGUAACUGACGCUGAGGAGCGAAAGCGUGGGGAGCGAACAGGAUUAGAUACCCUGGUAGUCCACGCCGUAAACGAUGAGUGCUAAGUGUUAGGGGGUUUCCGCCCCUUAGUGCUGCAGCUAACGCAUUAAGCACUCCGCCUGGGGAGACGGUCGCAAGACUGAAACUCAAAGGA